RNAcentral lists this long non-coding RNA (1118 nucleotides) under Mus musculus (house mouse). Its description in RNAcentral is "predicted gene 12610". Lineage: Eukaryota; Metazoa; Chordata; Mammalia; Rodentia; Muridae. The record is from RNAcentral.
AGCUCAAGUCUUGAACUCUGCUUGGUUUCCCAGAUCUUGGAUGUGAGUCAUGGAAAUGAACCUGAACUGAGAGUUGCUUUCCAAAGACUAUCUCACCACUGGGAUUCAGGCUGAACAAAGGAGUUAGAUUCAAAACAGGGAUUCUCUGUAUAGCCCUGCUGUCCUGGAACUCAUGCUGCAGAUGAGGCUGACCCUUGAAGUGAGAGAGCUGCUUGCCCCUGCCUUCUUACUGCUGAGAUUAAAGGCAAGUGACACCACUGUCCAGCUAAACCUAUUCUUAUAACUUAGAAGUUACAGUGAACAUAUUACAACCAAAGAAGUAUAUAGAAAGGCAGCUGAUUCUCACUCUACAUUCAAGGAAGAGUUAUAAAAAUACCAGGGACUUUGGCAGUCCCCUUAACAUGUUAUCUAGCAGUAUGAAAAUUGUGGUUAAUAAGUUCUGUCUUUGUGAAAUAUAAAAGAGACAGAAACAGCAGAAUGCUAUACUGAAAGAUGCCUCUACCUCACAUCUCAUCUUGUGUGUGUGUUGGUUCUUAUGUUAACUCUUUGCUCUGAAUGAAUACUGCCACCUAGUUUGCUUUAUUGCUGUGAUAAAACACCAUGACCAAAACCAACCUGGAAAAGAGAGAGAGUUUAUUUGGCUUACUUAUCUUGGGUCAUGGUACACAGAGAGUAGCCAAAGCAGGACUGUACUGUAGCAGAGGCAUGGAGGAAUGCUGCUUACUUUCUUGCUUGCUCAUAGCAUGCUGAGCCUGCUUUCUUAUACAAAGUAGGACCACCUGCCCAGGGGAUACCAACCACUGUUGCUGAAAAUAUUUAAUUCCAAUCCAGACUUUCUACCUUGUCUUUGGCCAUUUGGUUCCUGGAUAAAAGACACACACAACCUUUAUAUUUAUAAUAAGACUUAAUAAUAAGAGCUGUGGAGAUAUCUAUCCUCUAUGGUUUUAUAUCUAUUUACUAGACAAUAAUCCCAUUAUAUAAUUUGCCCUGCAUGUCUGGGUUACUAUUAACUCCAAUUAGCCAACCCACAUGACCAUUAUUUUAAGAUUCCCCAUGGCAGCUUCUUCUCUCUCCACUUUCUUUUUGUCCCACCUCCAUGGUUCUCUUCCGACCCCAUG